RNAcentral lists this ribosomal RNA (245 nucleotides) under uncultured bacterium. RNAcentral describes it as "partial 16S ribosomal RNA". It matches the Rfam family "Bacterial small subunit ribosomal RNA", at positions 524 to 768 of the family's 1533-position model. The record is from RNAcentral.
UACGUAGGGGGCAAGCGUUGUCCGGAGUUACUGGGCGUAAAGCGCCCGCAGGCGGUUGCGUAAGCAAGCGGUGACAGCUCCUCGCUUAACGAGGGGAGUGCCGCCUGGACUGCGUGACUUGAGGGCCAGAGAGGGACAUGGAACUCCGGGUGGAGUGGUGAAAUGCGUAGAGAUCCGGAAGAACACCAAAGGCGAAGGCAGUGUCCUGGCUGGCCCCUGACGCUCAGGGGCGAAAGCGAGGGGAG